This is a long non-coding RNA of Salvelinus namaycush (lake trout), 223 nucleotides long. RefSeq lists it as uncharacterized. The transcript is spliced from 3 exons. The record is from RefSeq and is a predicted model, not a curated record. Lineage: Eukaryota; Metazoa; Chordata; Actinopteri; Salmoniformes; Salmonidae.
GAAGUGGAGAACCGUUACCAAGGAAACCCUCUGAAAGGAACGUGUUACUACACCCUGCUGAUAGACUACCAGUUCACCUUCAGUCUGUCUCAGGAGGACGACCGCUACUACACCUCCAUCAACUUUGUAGCCACACCCGAGGAGCAGAAUCGUGAUCUGGUUGUUUUCAUUAACGCCUCCAAGAACUUCAACCUCAACAUCACCUGGGCCGCCAGCUUCACAG